This 465-nucleotide ribosomal RNA is filed under the name uncultured bacterium. Its description in RNAcentral is "partial 16S ribosomal RNA". It matches the Rfam family "Bacterial small subunit ribosomal RNA", at positions 28 to 507 of the family's 1533-position model. The record is from RNAcentral.
GACGAACGCUGGCGGCGUGCUUAACACAUGCAAGUCGAGCGGUAAGGCCCCUUCGGGGGUACACGAGCGGCGAACGGGUGCGUAACACGUGAGCAAUCUGCCCAUCACAUCGGGAUAACUCCGGGAAACCGAAGCUAAUACCGAAUACGACCACCUCCGGCAUCGGAUGGUGGUGGAAAGUUCCGGCGGUGAUGGAUGAGCUCGCGGCCUAUCAGCUUGUUGGUGGGGUAACGGCCCACCAAGGCUUCGACGGGUAGCCGGCCUGAGAGGGUGACCGGCCACACUGGGACUGAGACACGGCCCAGACUCCUACGGGAGGCAGCAGUGGGGAAUAUUGGACAAUGGGCGAAAGCCUGAUCCAGCAACGCCGCGUGAGGGAUGACGGCCUUCGGGUUGUAAACCUCUUUCAGCAGGGACGAAGCGCAAGUGACGGUACCUGCAGAAGAAGCACCGGCCAACUACGUG